RNAcentral lists this ribosomal RNA (253 nucleotides) under uncultured bacterium. RNAcentral describes it as "partial 16S ribosomal RNA". It matches the Rfam family "Bacterial small subunit ribosomal RNA", at positions 524 to 776 of the family's 1533-position model. The record is from RNAcentral.
UACGAAGGGUGCAAGCGUUAAUCGGAAUUACUGGGCGUAAAGCGUGCGUAGGCGGUUUGUUAAGUCUGUUGUGAAAUCCCCGGGCUCAACCUGGGAAUGGCAAUGGAUACUGGCAAGCUAGAGUGUGUCAGAGGAUGGUGGAAUUCCCGGUGUAGCGGUGAAAUGCGUAGAGAUCGGGAGGGACACCGGUGGCGAAGGCGGCGACCUGGGACAAUACUGACGCUGAGGUGCGAAAGCGUGGGGGGCAAACAGG